UACGAAGGGGGCUAGCGUUGCUCGGAAUCACUGGGCGUAAAGGGUGCGUAGGCGGGUUUUUAAGUCAGGGGUGAAAUCCUGGAGCUCAACUCCAGAACUGCCUUUGAUACUGAAGAUCUUGAGUCCGGGAGAGGUGAGUGGAACUGCGAGUGUAGAGGUGAAAUUCGUAGAUAUUCGCAAGAACACCAGUGGCGAAGGCGGCCAACUGGACGAAGACUGACGCUGAGACACGAAAGCGUGGGGAGCAAACAGG
RNAcentral lists this ribosomal RNA (253 nucleotides) under uncultured bacterium. RNAcentral describes it as "partial 16S ribosomal RNA". It matches the Rfam family "Bacterial small subunit ribosomal RNA", at positions 524 to 776 of the family's 1533-position model. The record is from RNAcentral.